RNAcentral lists this ribosomal RNA (280 nucleotides) under uncultured fungus. RNAcentral's name for it is "partial 28S ribosomal RNA". It matches the Rfam family "Eukaryotic large subunit ribosomal RNA", at positions 352 to 620 of the family's 3401-position model. The record is from RNAcentral. Lineage: Eukaryota; Fungi.
CGUGAGGGAAAGAUGAAAAGCACUUUGAAAAGAGAGUCAAACAGUACGUGAAAUUGCUGAAAGGGAAACGCUUGAAGUCAGUCGCGCCCCCUGGAAUUCANNCCUGCUUUUGUAGGGUGUACUUUCCAGGGGGUGGGNCAACAUCAGUUUUGACCGGCAGAUAAAGGCCGGGGGAAUGUGGCUCCUUCGGGAGUGUUAUAGCCCCCAGUCACAUAUGCCGGUUGGGACUGAGGANNGCAGCGCGCCCUUGUGGCAGGCCUUCGGGCACUUUCGCGCUUAG